This 1819-nucleotide long non-coding RNA is filed under the name Sarcophilus harrisii (Tasmanian devil). RNAcentral's name for it is "lncRNA (ENSSHAG00000031237.1)". Lineage: Eukaryota; Metazoa; Chordata; Mammalia; Dasyuromorphia; Dasyuridae. The record is from RNAcentral.
GUCCUUUUCUAGCUUCAAAAUAUAUUGACUUCCCAAUUGCCUCGGCCAAAAAAAAUUAAGCAAAAGAUAAUGACUUUUUUUUUUUUUUGGUUUGGUUUUUGCAAGGCAAUCAGGGGUGACUUGCUAGGGUCACACAGCUAGUAAAAUCCUCCUGACUUCAGGACCAGUGCUCUAUCCACUGAACCACCUAGCUGCCCUAAAAUAUGUUGACUUUUUAUAAAAGGACACUGUGUCUUCACUAUUUAUAUGGCAAUCAAUUCCAUGUAUAUUUCCAGGAGAACUCAAUCUUGGUUUGUGUCUAUAUAAUUAUGUUUAUUGUCAAGCACAAUUAUUUAUCAAAUGUCAUUGAACUUGAUGUUACAUCCUUCUUGCCUUCCUGUUUUCCUUCCUGUAUUCUUCAGUACUCCUGCCUUCCACAAAUAUCCACUGAAUACUUACUACACAAGAGAUGCUGUACUAGGUAUUAUGAUUAAUAAACAAGUUCUUAUCCUUAAAAAACUUUAAAAAGAUACUGUCAACAGGCAAUCACAACUUCUUGAAACAUGUGAAAAGUAUAUUUAUUACAACAGGAACGAGCAUGUAUGUGGAACCCAAAGAAUUCACAAUCCAUACAGAAGUUUGCAUUGAUAAUACAAUAAAGGAAGGAGAAGAAAACACAUCUCAACCUAAAGGGGCAUGGCAUGGGAGGGAGGAAAAUGAAGUAAAUGUGGGAAAAGGACAAAAGGGGAGCUUAACUGAAGGGGAGGAGCAAGGUUAUGGCAAAAAACAUCUUUCUUUUCUCUUGGGGACCAUUAGAUCAUGAAGAUAAGAUGGUCUGCUUAUCUAUAAGAUUACUGGCUGCAUAAGCACUUUCUCAGUCAGUCAACUGUUGACUAUCUCCUGUCUGGAUUCCAAAGGAUCUACAGGGAAUCCAGCUGGGAUACAAAUAACAAAUUAUGCCAGCUCAGGGUCUCCUGUAUAUUCUGGGUCCUGUAUGUUUCUGGAAGAUAUGGCCAUUCAAAAAGAAAAGUUCAGGGGACCCCUUAAUAUUCCUUAACAGUAAUAUAUCCCAUCUCAUGUUAUCCAGUGUGGGAAUUUUGCCAUUAGUCUUGCCUUCCUUCUCUCUACCAGGAACAACCACAUUCUAGACCAAGUGCUUUCAACUGAGGCUGAGCCACCCUGAUUAUUGAAUGUUUAAGUAAAAAUUCAUUUCAAUACUCUAUGUGUAGUUAGUUCUUGAUCAAGCUUCAUAUACUGUUCAGCAUUCCACCAGAAAAUCAGAGUCUGUGCAAGGCCUUGUUCUUGACUUUGGAAUAAUAAAAUUGAUAUUAUUAUUGCAUCUGAAAAGGGCUUUACAAUUUACUUUCAUUUAGCUAGACUCAAUUUUUUUCUCUUUUUUUUUAAUUUGUAAAUUCUUUUUUUUUAUUUUGAAAAAAAAUUUCUUUACAACAUUAUCCCUUGCAUUCACUUUUGUUCCGACUUUUUCCCUCCCUCCCUCCAUCCCCUCCCCAACAUGGCAAGCAGUCUUAUACAUGUUAAAUAUGUCACAGUAUAUCCUAGAUGCAAUAUAUGUGUGCAGAACCGAACAGUUCCCAUGUUGCACAGGGAGAAUUGGAUUCAGAAGAUAAAAAUAACCCGGGAAGAAAAACAAAAAUGAAAACAGUUUACAUUCAUUUUCCCGUGUUCUUUCUUUGGGUAUAGCUGUUUCUGUCCAUCAUUGAUCAAUUGAAACUGAGUUAGAUCUUCUCUUUGUCAAAGAAAUCCACUUCUGUCAGAAUACAGUCUCAUACAGUAUUGUUGUUGAAGUACAUAAUAAUCUCCUGGUUCUGCUCAUUUCACU